Camellia sinensis is the source of this 862-nucleotide non-coding RNA. Lineage: Eukaryota; Viridiplantae; Streptophyta; Magnoliopsida; Ericales; Theaceae. The record is from RefSeq and is a predicted model, not a curated record.
UUCUCUUUUUUGUAUAUACGUCUCGCUCUCUCUCCUGCUCUCUCCUUUCUCUCCAUCGACAUCUCAGACAAACACACGAGCAGCACCAGCGACCACCACCAGCGACCACCACCAGCCACUGCCCCUCUGAUCACCAAUCGAUUGCAUUUUGAUUUGAUUAAUUCGGUGAGAGCAUCAAUCGAUUGAUUCGGUGAGAGCCUUGGAUUAAUUCGUUUCAUUUCAACUUUAUGAUCUCAAGCAGCAAGGAUUCAUAGAGAGACAGGAGCUUAUGAGGAAACACUCAAAUGACAGUCGACAAUCAAAUUGUUGUUGGGACUUUGAUGAAUUUAGUUUUUAUAAAUUCAUCAGGUUGAGUAGACUCAUAAGUGUGACCACCUCAAAAUGUGUAUUCUAUCAGUAUGCUUAUAUACUCUUAAUUUUUGUGGGGUCAAAGUAAUGGUGUGUCGAUUUUAGAGAAUGUCAAAUACAAGUUGUUGCAUUGGGAGGGGACAAACUUGGUGGUUGUAGAAGGCCAAAUUGCAUCAAGGGAUCCCAAGUCAAAGGUGCAUCGUGUGACUCUUGGACCUUUGUGUUGGAAAGUAUGGGUGAACCACGUAAUAUUCAACAUGCCGUUGUUUCGUUCUACUCAUAAAAUGUAUGAUCUUCAAGAUGCAAUUGGAAGUAUAGUUGCAUGGCCUAGACAAUUCGUUCUUUUGGACUAAAUAUUAGACUAAUUGAUUUACGAUUUGUAGUUAUACUUUUUGGAUAUUUAAAAUCUUAUUUUAGAGAUUAGUGAAUCUUAUGAUUUGGAUAUUUUUUUUGAUUUGUAUGUUUGAGGUUGUUAUCAGCUUGAUAUGAUAGAAGUUGAGGAUGAAAGUUAGCA